GAUGAAGGAACGUAGCGAAAUGCGAUAAGUAAUGUGAAUUGCAGAAUUCAGUGAAUCAUCGAAUCUUUGAACGCACAUUGCGCCCGCCAGUAUUCUGGCGGGCAUGCCUGUUCGAGCGUCAUUACAACCCUCAGGCCCCCGGGCCUGGCGUUGGGGAUCGGCGGAAGCCCCCUGUGGGCACACGCCGUCCCUCAAAUACAGUGGCGGUCCCGCCGCAGCUUCCAUUGCGUAGUAGCUAACACCUCGCAACUGGAGAGCGGCGCGGCCAUGCCGUAAAACACCCAACUUCUGAAUGUUGACCUCGAAUCAGGUAGGAAUACCCGCUGAACUUAAGCAUAUCAAUAAGCGGAGGA
This 353-nucleotide unclassified non-coding RNA is filed under the name soil metagenome. Its description in RNAcentral is "partial contains 5.8S ribosomal RNA, internal transcribed spacer 2, and large subunit ribosomal RNA". The stretch from base 1 to 121 matches the Rfam family "5.8S ribosomal RNA", at positions 35 to 154 of the family's 154-position model. The record is from RNAcentral.